AGAAGAAAGACCACUACAACACCACUGCUUCAUUCAAAGAAACCUGCAUCAGCGCCCUAGUGGACAUGAGUAGCAAACUAGAAAAGACUACACUAGAGACAAACUAUACUACAAAGAAGUCUUAAAAGAAUAUGGAAUUGCCACAGAGGGGCAGACAUCUUGAACUGACGAGGAAAAGGUCUAAGAGUGAUGCUUCUGAUCAUCAAUGUGCUCGUCAAAAGCCAGAUGAAAAAGUAGUUAAUGAUGGUAUAUAUGCUUUGCACGAACUCACCCUAAAUUGAAGAGGACCUCUAUAGCCAGUUCAAAAGAACUCGCUGACCUAAGAGACGAAACUUCAUUAAUACGAAGUGGAGAAGACGGAAUGCUAUUAGGGACUGGUCCAUGGUCAAGACU
Halichondria panicea is the source of this 393-nucleotide long non-coding RNA. RefSeq lists it as uncharacterized. Lineage: Eukaryota; Metazoa; Porifera; Demospongiae; Suberitida; Halichondriidae. The transcript is spliced from 3 exons. The record is from RefSeq and is a predicted model, not a curated record.